Molecule: unclassified non-coding RNA, 345 nt
Filed under: soil metagenome
Description: partial contains 5.8S ribosomal RNA, internal transcribed spacer 2, and large subunit ribosomal RNA
Rfam family: 5.8S ribosomal RNA (bases 1-120)
Source: RNAcentral
GAUGAAGAACGUAGCGAAAUGCGAUACGUAAUGUGAAUUGCAGAAUUCAGUGAAUCAUCGAGUCUUUGAACGCACAUUGCGCCCCCUGGUAUUCCGGGGGGCAGGCCUGUCCGAGCGUCAUUGCUGCCCUCAAGCACGGCUUGUGUGUUGGGCCUCCGUCCUCCUCCCGGGGGACGGGCCCGAAAGGCAGCGGCGGCACCGCGUCCGGUCCUCGAGCGUAUGGGGCUUCGUCACCCGCUCUUGUAGGCCCGGCCGGCGCUUGCCGACACAUCAAUCUUUUUUCCAGGUUGACCUCGGAUCAGGUAGGGAUACCCGCUGAACUUAAGCAUAUCAAUAAGCGGAGGA